Molecule: ribosomal RNA, 292 nt
Filed under: uncultured bacterium
Lineage: Bacteria
Description: partial 16S ribosomal RNA
Rfam family: Bacterial small subunit ribosomal RNA
Source: RNAcentral
GUGCCAGCCGCCGCGGUAAGACAGAGGUGGCGAGCGUUGUUCGGAAUUACUGGGCUUAAAGGGCGCGUAGGCGUCCCGACAAGUCAGGUGUGGAAGCUUCCCGCUUAACGGGGAAAUUGCAUCUGAAACUGUCGGGAUUGAGUCAGCGAGGGGAUGGCGGAAUUCCAGGUGUAGCGGUGAAAUGCGUAGAUAUCUGGAGGAAGGCCGGUGGCGAAGGCGGCCAUCUGGCGCUGAACUGACGCUGAGGCGCGAAAGCGUGGGGAGCAAACAGGAUUAGAUACCCGGGUAGUCC